RNAcentral lists this ribosomal RNA (466 nucleotides) under uncultured bacterium. Its description in RNAcentral is "bacterial SSU rRNA". It matches the Rfam family "Bacterial small subunit ribosomal RNA", at positions 338 to 795 of the family's 1533-position model. The record is from RNAcentral.
CCUACGGGCGGCAGCAGUGGGGAAUAUUGGACAAUGGGGGGAACCCUGAUCCAGCCAUGCCGCGUGUGUGAAGAAGGCCUUUUGGUUGUAAAGCACUUUAAGCGAGGAGGAGGCUACCUAGAUUAAUACUUUAGGAUAGUGGACGUUACUCGCAGAAUAAGCACCGGCUAACUCUGUGCCAGCAGCCGCGGUAAUACAGAGGGUGCGAGCGUUAAUCGGAUUUACUGGGCGUAAAGCGUGCGUAGGCGGCCAAUUAAGUCAAAUGUGAAAUCCCCGAGCUUAACUUGGGAAUUGCAUUCGAUACUGGUUGGCUAGAGUAUGGGAGAGGAUGGUAGAAUUCCAGGUGUAGCGGUGAAAUGCGUAGAGAUCUGGAGGAAUACCGAUGGCGAAGGCAGCCAUCUGGCCUAAUACUGACGCUGAGGUACGAAAGCAUGGGGAGCAAACAGGAUUAGAUACCCUCGUAGUC